UCACGUAUAGGUAUGGCUUUCAACAAGUCUUUUAGAGUCAACAAUGAUUUUGUAUUUUCGUGCGUGGAUCACUGAGAUUUUUCUAUUGUUUGGGGAUGAUAUUUUAUGGGUUAUGGAGCAAUGACAAUAACGACAUGCCAAUAAUUUGAUAGCUGUCUUGAUCUACUCGCUGUGAUUGCUUCUCCAGACCCAUGCCGUGUAAAUCGUUGAAGGUCAAAGAUUCGUGUAAUGAAGUGCAGUGCGGGAGCUUGAAACCGUACAUCACCUCGCUCGCACAUGUAUUACCGUGCGUAGCUAGGUUGAUGCCCGUGGAUGGUUAUUGAAUUUAUUUGCUCAUGCACCUAUUGAUAUUUCUUGCGUCGAAAAGUCACAGGACAAAACAGAAAACUGACGGUGUUCCAGAUGAAACCGACUUGAUUUGAGAUCAAUAUUUUGUAUCGAAAAAGACAUAGGGACGCAGCUGAAACCAGCCUUGGCAUGAGCAUCCCUCGGCUUUCGCCUUGCUCGGCCGGACCUUAACCCGGUACGGCGGUCCGAUUGGGGAGCGAUCAACAUAACCUGCAUCCAUUUAAAUGCCUGCAUCACAUCACACGGAGGCUGCGAGAUGGCGUAGAAGAAUGCAUCUCUAAUGACUAUUUUGUCACUGCGUUACUUUCGGAAAGGAUUCAUCAUCGCGGCUGUGUGGAGAAGCAGGUGCUUUUGCGUUGUGCUUUCUAUAUCAUGCUUGUAUCACAACUCAAAGAACUUUAAGUACUGACCUGACUUUACAACCAUAAUUAUGGAAUGCAUACGAAAUGGACAUGUGGCUCGGGUUAUCUGUAAACACAUUUAUUUCUACCCUCUUAGCCUGAUUUCAAAAACAGGUCGCAGCUCCAGACGAGAUGUGUUGGCAUAAUGCUAGACGUAUGAUGCAUCAAAAUACUCUGCAGCUGCCUGUUUUUUAUAUCUCCUACGUGAUUAUCAAGGUCUGUCUGCAUGGUGGGAUAUGCUUUCUAGUCAUUUAAGUUUCUUCGUAUUUGGUAUCCUGUUUGAAAAAAAAGACCUUGCUGAUAGAUUAUUUUGUUUCUAGUCUAAGAAUUGAAACGGAUGAAAAAGCUCAAUAAUUAUGCAGGCCUAUAAAUAUCAUAUUUGAUAAUGCCUCAAUCUUGCAGUGUAUUCAUUUGCUACUAAGAAAGGUCGUAAAGUUUACGUUUUUUAUCAGUUUUAUAAAAUGAGACUCUUAUCAGUGGUAGAUGUGAAUGUGUUGUUCUUUUUUUUGUGAUUUUCACUUAUACCUUUUAUAUGCUAGUGAAAAUUUUCAAUAUCACAGAGAAAUUCCAAAUUAAUAUG
Long non-coding RNA from Lytechinus variegatus (green sea urchin), 1329 nucleotides. RefSeq lists it as uncharacterized. The transcript has 3 exons. The record is from RefSeq and is a predicted model, not a curated record. Lineage: Eukaryota; Metazoa; Echinodermata; Echinoidea; Temnopleuroida; Toxopneustidae.